AUUGCCUCAGUAACGGCGAAGUGAAGCGGCAAUAGCUCAAAUUUGAAAGCUGGCUUACGCCCGCGUUGUAAUUUGUAGAGGAUGCUUCGGAUGCGGUGCCGGUCUAAGUUCUUUGGAACAGGACGUCAUAGAGGGUGAGAAUCCCGUAUGUGACUGGUGGCCUGCGUCUAUGUGAAGCUCCUUCGACGAGUCGAGUUGUUUGGGAAUGCAGCUCUAAAUGGGUGGUGUACUUCAUCUAAAGCUAAAUAUUGGCUGGAGACCGAUAGCGCACAAGUAGAGUGAUCGAAAGAUGAAAAGCACUUUGGAAAGAGAGUUAAAUAGUACGUGAAAUUGUUGAAAGGGAAGCGCUUGCAAUCAGACUUGCGCUGCGUCGAUCAACCUGGGUUCUCCCUGGUGCACUCGGCGCAGCUCAGGCCAGCAUCAGUUUCGGCGGUUGGAUAAAGGCUUGGAGAACGUGAGUUGCUUCGGCGACUGUUAUAGCUCCAGGUGCAAUGCAGCCAGCUGGGACUGAGGACCGCGCUUUUCGCGAAGCUAGGAUGCUGGCGUAAUGGUUGUAAGCGACCCGUCUGAAAACACGGAA
Molecule: ribosomal RNA, 580 nt
Filed under: uncultured fungus
Lineage: Eukaryota; Fungi
Description: eukaryotic LSU rRNA
Rfam family: Eukaryotic large subunit ribosomal RNA
Source: RNAcentral